AGAGUUUGAUCAUGGCUCAGAACGAACGCUGGCGGCGUGGAUAAGACAUGCAAGUCGAACGGGAUUUUCCGUGUAGCAAUACAUGGAAAGUUCAGUGGCGUAAGGGUGCGUAACACGUGGGCAAUCUGCCGAGAAGUGGGGGGAUAGCUCGCCGAAAGGCGAAUUAAUACCGCAUGUGGUCAGCGAAGGAUUCUUCGCGACACCAAAGCCGGGGCAACCUGGCGCUUCUUGAUGAGCCCGCGGCCUAUCAGCUAGUUGGCGGGGUAAAAGCCCACCAAGGCUAAGACGGGUAGCUGGUCUGAGAGGACGACCAGCCACACUGGAACUGAGACACGGUCCAGACACCUACGGGUGGCAGCAGUCGAGAAUUUUUCUCAAUGGGCGAAAGCCUGAAGGAGCGACGCCGCGUGGGGGAUGAAGGGCUUCGGUCCGUAAACCCCUGUCAUUUGCGAACAAACCUUUACUUUGAACAUUGGUAAAGCUGAUUGUAGCGAAAGAGGAAGGGACGGCUAACUCUGUGCCAGCAGCCGCGGUAAUACAGAGGUCCCAAGCGUUGUUCGGAUUCACUGGGCGUAAAGGGUGCGCAGGUGGGUUGGCAAGUUUGACGUGAAAGCCCCGGGCUUAACCCGGGAAUGGCGUUGAAAACUGCUGAUCUGGAGGAUCGGAGGGGGGACUGGAAUUCUUGGUGUAGCAGUGAAAUGCGUAGAUAUCAAGAGGAACACCAGUGGCGAAGGCGAGUCCCUGGACGAUACCUGACACUGAGGCACGAAAGCCAAGGGAGCAAACAGGAUUAGAUACCCUAGUAGUCC
This 809-nucleotide ribosomal RNA is filed under the name uncultured bacterium. Its description in RNAcentral is "bacterial SSU rRNA". It matches the Rfam family "Bacterial small subunit ribosomal RNA", at positions 8 to 796 of the family's 1533-position model. The record is from RNAcentral.